GGCCCAUUAGCUCAGUUGGUUAGACCGUCGUGCUAAUAACGCGAUCGCAGGUUCGAGACCUGCAUGGGCCA
Molecule: transfer RNA, 71 nt
Filed under: Solanum tuberosum (potato)
Lineage: Eukaryota; Viridiplantae; Streptophyta; Magnoliopsida; Solanales; Solanaceae
Rfam family: tRNA
About the family: Transfer RNA (tRNA) molecules are approximately 80 nucleotides in length. Their secondary structure includes four short double-helical elements and three loops (D, anti-codon, and T loops). Further hydrogen bonds mediate the characteristic L-shaped molecular structure. tRNAs have two regions of fundamental functional importance: the anti-codon, which is responsible for specific mRNA codon recognition, and the 3' end, to which the tRNAs corresponding amino acid is attached (by aminoacyl-tRNA synthetases). tRNAs cope with the degeneracy of the genetic code in two manners: having more than one tRNA (with a specific anti-codon) for a particular amino acid; and 'wobble' base-pairing, i.e. permitting non-standard base-pairing at the 3rd anti-codon position.
Source: Rfam by way of RNAcentral